Molecule: ribosomal RNA, 242 nt
Filed under: uncultured bacterium
Lineage: Bacteria
Description: partial 16S ribosomal RNA
Rfam family: Bacterial small subunit ribosomal RNA
Source: RNAcentral
UACGUAGGUGGCAAGCGUUGUCCGGAUUUACUGGGUGUAAAGGGCGUGUAGCCGGGCUGACAAGUCAGAUGUGAAAUUCCGGGGCUCAACCCCGGACCUGCAUUUGAAACUGUUGGUCUUGAGUAUCGGAGAGGCAGGCGGAAUUCCUAGUGUAGCGGUGAAAUGCGUAGAUAUUAGGAGGAACACCAGUGGCGAAGGCGGCCUGCUGGACGACAACUGACGGUGAGGCGCGAAAGCGUGGG